Molecule: ribosomal RNA, 484 nt
Filed under: uncultured bacterium
Lineage: Bacteria
Description: partial 16S ribosomal RNA
Rfam family: Bacterial small subunit ribosomal RNA
Source: RNAcentral
AUUGAACGCUGGCGGCAGGCCUAACACAUGCAAGUCGAGCGGAUGAAGGGAGCUUGCUCCUGGAUUCAGCUGCGGACGGGUGAGUAAUUCCUAGGAAUCUGCCUUGUAGUGGGGGAUAACGUCCGUAAACGGGCGCUAAUACCGCAUACGUCCUGAUGUAGAAAGUGGGGGAUCUUCGGACCUCACGCUAUCAGAUGAGCCUAGGUCGGAUUAGCUAGUUGGUAGGGUAAAGGCUUACCAAGGCGACUAUCCGUAACCGGUCUGAGUGGGUGAUCGGUCACACUGGAACUGAGACACGGUCCAGACUCCUACGGAAGGCAGCAGUAGGGAAGCUUCCGCAAUGGGCGAAAGCCUGACGGAGCAACGCCGCGUGAGUGAUGAAGGUCUUCGGAUCGUAAAACUCUGUUAUUAGGGAAGAACAAAUGUGUAAGUAACUAUGCACGUCUUGACGGUACCUAAUCAGAAAGCCACGGCUAACUACGGG